Molecule: unclassified non-coding RNA, 211 nt
Filed under: plant metagenome
Description: partial contains small subunit ribosomal RNA, internal transcribed spacer 1, and 5.8S ribosomal RNA
Source: RNAcentral
UUUCCGUAGGUGAACCUGCGGAAGGAUCAUUCAUAAUAAAGUGUUUUAUGGCACUUUUUAAAAAUCCAUAUCCACCUUGUGUGCAAUGUUAGAUCUCGUCAAUCUUGGCGAGAUUUUUAUACAUCAACUCAUCCUUUAACGAAUUUGUCUGAAAAAUAUUAUGAAUACUUAAUUCAAAAUACAACUUUCAACAACGGAUCUCUUGGCUCUC